RNAcentral lists this unclassified non-coding RNA (373 nucleotides) under fungal sp. RNAcentral's name for it is "partial internal transcribed spacer region". The stretch from base 1 to 45 matches the Rfam family "Eukaryotic small subunit ribosomal RNA", at positions 1787 to 1831 of the family's 1831-position model. Lineage: Eukaryota; Fungi. The record is from RNAcentral.
AGUCGUAACAAGGUAACCGUAGGUGAACCUGCGGUUGGAUCAUUAUCUAUGAUUUUGGGUUUUUUUAACUAAAAGUUUUUAACAACUCUUAGUUUCAAUUUCCCUAAAAAGUCUCGCCUAAUUUUAUUAUUAGGCUGAGACAAACACCCCUAUGUGAACUUGUUUUAUUACUAUGGGUAGUUGGUAUUUUUUCUUGUAAUUCACUUGAAAAGAAAACACUACCCUCUAUAAACAUUUACCAUAGAAAUUUUGUAGCUACUUUAAAAUUUAUUUUGACUUUUGUUAAAUUAUUUCUUAAAGAAAACUACUAGAGAAUACCAGAGAAAAAACUAUUAAAAGUAAACAACUUUUGACAACGGAUCUCUUGGCUCUC